Molecule: long non-coding RNA, 1092 nt
Organism: Mirounga angustirostris (Northern elephant seal)
Lineage: Eukaryota; Metazoa; Chordata; Mammalia; Carnivora; Phocidae
Exons: 3
Source: RefSeq, a predicted model, not a curated record
GGCAGAGGGAGAGGGAGAAGCAGGCUCCCCGCGGAGCAGGGAGCCCGAUGCGGAGCUCGAUCCCAGAACCCUGGGAUCAUGACCUGAGCCACCCAGGCGCCCUGAGCCUGUUUUAUUUUAAUCCAUGAGAAGGCAGUAGUAAUUUUUAGCAUUUUUACUUUUCACCAUAAGGAAGAAAAUCAGUACAGGGAGCUUUCACUAGCUCGUCUCAAAUACUCCAGGCAAGCCUGUAAUGACUGUGGCUACCCACGGUUCAGAGGUGGCCUAACUGCGGCAGAGAAAGGUUAAGGGCCUCGCCUGACAUUGAGCAGCGGGGCAAUGGCAGAGCCAGAACCCAACCCUGCCUCAAAUCCGCCUGAUUUCCCAUUUGAAUUUUAAAAUAAUAUAAGCAAGAUGUUAUAGUUUUUUGGAUUUAGAAAUCGUUUAAAGUAAGAUUAUUGUUUUCCUGUAUGAAGUUCAAGCUGGACCUCCGACAAGAAGAAGGAAUCGGGAGAACUUGGAAAGGCUUGGGAAGGACGCGGCCAAAACGAACAAGAGCUCGGGGAGAGGCAAGAAAACUCUGCCUGACAGGGAAAAAUUAAAGAAUUUUUUCACUAGAUGUGGGUGGGAGACCCCCAAACACACUACCAAGGAGGCAAAGCCUCUUUCGUUGCAGACCUUGAAAAGAAUGUUCAAGGGCCAGAGUUUUGAAUGAGCGGAUUGCAGAACCGUCGUCGUUCUAGAGGCUAAAAUGACUUCCCCACCCAUGGCAAGUCUGACCAACACCCAGAGGAUUCCAGCGACGUGGCUAAGCCACCAGGAAGACCAGGAAGAGAUUUUUCAAUAUCAUUCGAGGCUUUGUGGGAGAGUGAAUGUCGAGCCCGUAAUAGAUGCUUUCUGAUCCUCCUCACACUGCAUCUGGCUCUCCUAAGUAUUGGUCUUAUUACGUUUUUAAAAAUAGCUCUGAAGUAAUUUGUGUGCUGAACUGGCUACAGGAUAAAAAAAAACCUACCUGAAUAAAUUCUACUUGUUCCUAUCAGCCAGAGACCAGGAUCGGCAGCCAGUUUCCUCGGAGCUAAUUUUCAGCAUUAGGGUUUAUCAGAACCUAAAUUC